RNAcentral lists this long non-coding RNA (1761 nucleotides) under Piliocolobus tephrosceles (Ugandan red Colobus). Its description in RNAcentral is "lncRNA (ENSPTEG00000025343.1)". Lineage: Eukaryota; Metazoa; Chordata; Mammalia; Primates; Cercopithecidae. The record is from RNAcentral.
AUGCACAGUCAUUUUUUUUUUUUUUUUUUUUUUUUUUUUUGUAUAACCGUGAUGCAUAGCUUAUUAUGUCGAAGUCUAUGUUUUAAAAAAAAAACAACACGAUCAUAUUUUAAAAGAAGCAACGAUGUAAUUUCUUCAUUUACAACUAAGCAAUUGUUUUAUUCCACAAGUAGUACAAAUAAACUAAAAAAAUUGAUUUUAGAAUAUUAUUGCGCAAAUAAUGAUGACUUUGUUCAUAAUAGACAAGAACAUGAAAAAACGAUUAAAAAGUAUAUUAACGAGCAUAAUGAGAAAAACACAAAAGGUACAUUAAUGAUAGAGUCUAUGGUAUUAAGUACAAAUGAUCAAAAUAUUAUAUUAAAUAAUAAUAUGAGUGAAAUUAAAAAAUAUGUUGAAAUUAAUUAUGAAAAAAAUGUAGAUAUUAGUAGUCGUUCUAAUAAUGAUAGUAAAUUAAAAAGUUUAUAUGAUACAACUACAUUAAUUCAAAUUUUAUCUGUUUGUGGAAUAAAAGUACCAUUACAUAUAUUAUAUUAUUAUUUAUUAAAUACAAUAUCAGAUUUAAAGUAUUUUUUAAAUUUAUAUAAAAAUAGUAUUAUUAAGUACGAUGAUGAACAAAUAAAACAAAAUAAAACAACUUUUUUAAAAAUAAAUAAAUAUUAUUAUAACGAUGAUAUUAAAGAUUGUUUUUUUUUAUUAUACAAAUCGAUUUCUAAUGUAUUUUUUAGUUUAUGCGAAAAUACAAUGAAAGAGGAUAACGCAGUUAUUGAUGUUACUAUAGCUAGUGAUAGUAGUCUUAGCAAAGAAAGUACAGAUAACACUACAACUAUGCAUAUAGAAGAAGCCGUAAAAGAGUAUCAUAAUAUUAUAAACGACACGUUAACAAUGGCUCCUGCUUUUUUGAACAUAAGUAUAUUAUUUUAUUAUAUAAAUACAUAUUUAUUUAUAAACAGAAGUAAACAAAUGAAAAGUAUUUGUUUAAAUAAACUUAAUGAAUAUAUAAAUGCUAUAUCUGACGACGAAAUACAUAUAACAAAUAAUGAUUUCUUUUAUCUUAUAUUAACAACACGUUUAUAUUUACUUAUUUUUUCAAAUGUUGAUGUACUUAAUGUUUUAAACAAAAGUAGUAAACAUUUUUUGUCAUUAGUGAUAAUGGUACCUAACAAUAAUAUUCAAUUAUCAUUGAAUAAACCAAAUGAGAAAUAUAAAUAUAUAGUUGAUUUUUUAAACAUGCAUGAAAAGUAUGUAGAACAUAAAAAAGUCAAUAUAUACCCUUUUACUUUUUCUUUGGUUUCAUUAAAAAAUAAAAUUAUUUAUAUAUUUGAAAAAAGUGAUGAUUUUUAUCUGAACAAUGUUAAAACAUUACGUUCAUAUACUUUCUGGAAAUAUUUUAUAGCGACGAAAAUGGAUUUCCAAUUGCUGACUAUAUGUACGAAAAACGAGUAUAAUGAUUUAUUUUCAAAAGAUAAAGGACAUGAUAUUUUGCUGAAAUAUACGAACAAAGAUUACACAUAUAAAUUUUAUGACAAAAAACAAAUACCUGCACUGUAAAAAUCUGUUUAUACACACGUACUUUCAUACAUACGUACCUUUAUACAUACAUACAUACACACACACAUAAUAUAUGUAUGUGCAUAACAAAAAAAUGUAUCAUUAUUACUUUUUUUUUUUUUUUUUUUUUUUUUUAUAUUUAAUGGCAUUUUUGAAAUUAUACAUUAAUGCGUAGUCAAUAAACGCUUCUUAUUUUAUUGCUAAUUAGUAUAU